Molecule: ribosomal RNA, 394 nt
Filed under: uncultured sheep rumen methanogen clone 52
Lineage: Archaea; Methanobacteriati; Methanobacteriota; Methanomicrobia; Methanomicrobiales; Methanomicrobiaceae
Description: bacterial SSU rRNA
Rfam family: Archaeal small subunit ribosomal RNA
Source: RNAcentral
AGUCAGGCAACGAGCGAGACCCACGCCAACAGUUGCUAGCAUGUUCUCCGGAAUGAUGAGGACACUGUUGGGACCGCCUCUGCUAAAGAGGAGGAAGGAAUGGGCAACGGUAGGUCAGCAUGCCCCGAAUUAUCCGGGCUACACGCGGGCUACAAUGGUCAGGACAAUGGGAAACGGCACUGAAAAGUGUAGUCAAUCUCCUAAACCUGUCCCAAGUUCGGAUUGUGGGCUGCAACUCGCCCACAUGAAGCUGGAAUCCGUAGUAAUCGCGUUUCAAAAUAGCGCGGUGAAUAAGUCCCUGCUCCUUGCACACACCACCCGUCAAACCAUCUUAGUGAGGUUUGGAUGAGGCUGUGGUUAACUGCCACAGUCGAAUCUAGUUUCGCAAGGAGGU